Molecule: ribosomal RNA, 187 nt
Filed under: uncultured bacterium
Lineage: Bacteria
Description: partial 16S ribosomal RNA
Rfam family: Bacterial small subunit ribosomal RNA
Source: RNAcentral
CGACUACAUGAAGCUGGAAUGCUAGUAAUCGCGGAUCAGAAUGCCGCGGUGAAUACGUUCCCGGGUCUUGUACACACCGCCCGUCACACCAUGGGAGUCGGAAAUGCCCGAAGUCCGUGACCGAACCGAAAGGAAGGAGCAGCCGAAGGCAGGUCGGAUGACUGGGGUGAAGUCGUAACAAGGUAAC